UACGUAGGGGGCGAGCGUUGUCCGGAUUUAUUGGGCGUAAAGAGCGUGUAGGCGGCCAGGUAGGUCUGCUGUGAAAACUCGAGGCUCAACCUCGGAACUGCCUUUGAUACUGGCGAUCUUAGAGUCCGGGAGAGGUGAGUGGAACUCCGAGUGUAGAGGUGAAAUUCGUAGAUAUUCGGAAGAACACCAGUGGCGAAGGCGGCUCACUGGCCCGGUACUGACGCUCAGGUGCGAAAGCGUGGGGAGCAAACAGG
Molecule: ribosomal RNA, 254 nt
Filed under: uncultured bacterium
Lineage: Bacteria
Description: partial 16S ribosomal RNA
Rfam family: Bacterial small subunit ribosomal RNA
Source: RNAcentral